Molecule: ribosomal RNA, 737 nt
Filed under: uncultured Vagococcus sp.
Lineage: Bacteria; Bacillati; Bacillota; Bacilli; Lactobacillales; Enterococcaceae
Description: bacterial SSU rRNA
Rfam family: Bacterial small subunit ribosomal RNA
Source: RNAcentral
UGGGGAGCAAACAGGAUUAGAUACCUGGUAGUCCACGCCGUAAACGAUGAGUGCUAAGUGUUAGGGGGUUUCCCCCCUUAGUGCUGCAGCUAACGCAUUAAGCACUCCGCUGGGGAGUACGACCGCAAGGUUGAAACUCAAAGGAAUUGACGGGGGCCCGCACAAGCGGUGGAGCAUGUGGUUUAAUUCGAAGCAACGCGAAGAACCUUACCAGGUCUUGACAUCCUUUGACAACUCUAGAGAUAGAGCUUUCCCUUUGGGGACAAAGUGACAGGUGGUGCAUGGUUGUCGUCAGCUCGUGUCGUGAGAUGUUGGGUUAAGUCCCGCAACGAGCGCAACCCUUAUUGUUAGUUGCCAUCAUUCAGUUGGGCACUCUAGCGAAACUGCCGGUGACAAACCGGAGGAAGGUGGGGAUGACGUCAAAUCAUCAUGCCCCUUAUGACCUGGGCUACACACGUGCUACAAUGGACAGUACAAUGAGCAGCGACACGGCGACGUGAAGCGAAUCUCAUAAAGCUGUUCUCAGUUCGGAUUGUAGGCUGCAACUCGCCUACAUGAAGCCGGAAUCGCUAGUAAUCGCGGAUCAGCACGCCGCGGUGAAUACGUUCCCGGGCCUUGUACACACCGCCCGUCACACCACGAAAGUUUGUAACACCCAAAGUCGGUGAGGUAACCUUCGGGAGCCAGCCGCCUAAGGUGGGAUAGAUGAUUGGGGUGAAGUCGUAACAAGGUAACCA